Biomphalaria glabrata is the source of this 453-nucleotide long non-coding RNA. RefSeq lists it as uncharacterized. The record is from RefSeq and is a predicted model, not a curated record. The transcript has 3 exons. NCBI's taxonomy places the organism in Eukaryota, Metazoa, Mollusca, Gastropoda, Planorbidae.
UUAGAUUGUAAAAGUAGAUCUAGGUUAGAUUGUAAGAGUAGAUCUAGGUUAGAUUGUAAAAGUAGAUCUAGGUUAGAUUGUAAGAGUAGAUCUAGGUUAGAUUGUAAGAGUAGAUCUAGGUUAGAUUGUAAGAGUAGAUCUAGUUUAGAUUGUAAGAGUAGAUCUAGGUUAGAUUGUAAGAGUAGAUCUAGGUUAGAUUGUAAAAGUAGAUCUAGGUUAGAUUGUAAGAGUAGAUCUAGGUUAGAUUGUAGAAGUAGAUCUAGGUUAGAUUGUAAAAGUUCUGAAUCAGAACUUUAGUAUACCUUCCUCGCUGACCGAAUAAAAAAAUGCGUAUUUUCUAGCAGCUGAAUGUGUCACGGGUUCGAAACCCGAAUUGAACCUUAACAUUUUAAAAUUAUUAUUUCUUUCUCAUUGUAUUAUAUUAUGAAGUUUAAUAAAAAAUAGUUUUUUUUA